RNAcentral lists this ribosomal RNA (1236 nucleotides) under Triticum aestivum (bread wheat). Its description in RNAcentral is "partial small subunit ribosomal RNA". The record is from RNAcentral. Lineage: Eukaryota; Viridiplantae; Streptophyta; Magnoliopsida; Poales; Poaceae.
AUGUGUUGUUUGGAUUAUUUUUUUCUUUUUGUGCAGACGCUGGAUCUACCGGAUUAUCUAAUACCAAGACUAAAGAUGCAAUUCAAAGAUGUAGAGAAAGCAAGGGAAUUUUAUAAGAGAUACGUCAGACACGCUGGUUUUGGAAUCAGGAAGAUGGGGGGAAAUGACAACCACAAGUAUUUUGUUUGCGCCUUCCAAGGGAUACACACAUCUUCUGUUUUAGAGGCCAACAGGAAGCGAAACAAAACAUCACAAAGGACGGGCUGCAAUGCAAGAAUGAGGGUGAAGGUGCAGGAGGAUGACACAUGCGUGGUAGUGGACAUUGAGUACAAUCAUAAUCACCAACUCAUGCAAACUGAUGACAUGCUAGUAUUCUUGCACUCACACAAGAAUUAUGACCCCACUAUUUUGGAGUACGUAAAGCUCUUGCAGUACCAUGAUUUCAAGCACACAACAGUCAUGUCCAUGCUAUCUGAAAAUGAAGAUGGAAGGUAAUUCCUAAGCAUGACCGGAUGAGACCUACUAAAGCAGAAAGCCAUGAAUGCAAGGAAAGAUGAUUUGGAUGAUGUAUUGAAACUUGUUUCAUUCUUCAAAUACAUGAAGGCAAUCAAUGAUGAGUUUUUCUAUGACAUACAAGUGGACAAGGACAAGUCAAUUAAAAACAUUUUUUGGUCCAAUGCAAGCUGCCGAGGAGCCUGUCAAGACUUUGGCGAUUGCAUAACAUUCGACACAACUUACAAGACCAACAGAUUUCAUAUGCCUCUGGGAGUGUUUGUUGGAACAAAUCAUCACUUGCAGUCAAUGAUAUUUGUUGUUGCCCUAAUAAGAGAUGAAGAUGCAAAGUCAUUCAAGUGGUUGUUCGAUACAUUUGUACGGUGCAUGAACAACAAGCACCCAACUUGCAUUCUAACAGACCAAGGCCCAUCGAUGGAGAAAGCUAUACCACAAUCAUUUCCAAACACCGUCCACAAGCUAUGCCAUUGGCACAUCAUGAAGAAGUACAGGGAAUACCUCACGUUGCUGUACAAAAAGUAUAAAACAUUCAAAGAGGAGUUCACAGCUAUAUUAAACUGGCCGCUGAUGCCAACAGAGUUUGAAGAUGCCUGGAUUGAAUUCGUGCAAAAGUACAACCUGGAGAACGACCAGAUGAUGAUGCAGCUCUGGAGUGAUAGGAAGAUGUGGAUUUCAGCAUAUUACAAGAACAUUUUCUAUGCUAGAAUGACUUCCACACAAUGA